CCUACGGGAGGCAGCAGUGGGGAAUAUUGGGCAAUGGGCGCAAGCCUGACCCAGCAACGCCGCGUGAAGGAAGAAGGCUUUCGGGUUGUAAACUUCUUUUGUCAGGGACGAAGCAAGUGACGGUACCUGACGAAUAAGCCACGGCUAACUACGUGCCAGCAGCCGCGGUAAUACGUAGGUGGCAAGCGUUAUCCGGAUUUAUUGGGUGUAAAGGGCGUGUAGGCGGGAAUGCAAGUCAGAUGUGAAAACUAUGGGCUCAACCCAUAGACUGCAUUUGAAACUGUAUUUCUUGAGUGCUGAAGAGGAGAUCGGAAUUCCGUGUGUAGCGGUGAAAUGCGUAGAUAUACGGAGGAACACCAGUGGCGAAGGCGGAUUGCUGGACAGUAACUGACGCUGAGGCGCGAAAGCGUGGGGAGCAAACAGGAUUAGAUACCCGAGUAGUC
This 443-nucleotide ribosomal RNA is filed under the name uncultured bacterium. RNAcentral's name for it is "partial 16S ribosomal RNA". It matches the Rfam family "Bacterial small subunit ribosomal RNA", at positions 338 to 795 of the family's 1533-position model. The record is from RNAcentral.